RNAcentral lists this ribosomal RNA (460 nucleotides) under uncultured bacterium. RNAcentral describes it as "partial 16S ribosomal RNA". It matches the Rfam family "Bacterial small subunit ribosomal RNA", at positions 338 to 795 of the family's 1533-position model. The record is from RNAcentral.
CCUACGGGUGGCAGCAGUGAGGAAUAUUGGUCAAUGGGAGGGAUCCUGAACCAGCCAAGCCGCGUGCAGGACGACGGCCCUAUGGGUUGUAAACUUCUUUUGUACGGGAAUAAAACGCUGUACGAGUACCGUUUUGCGUGUACCGUACGAAUAAGGAUCGGCUAACUCCUUGCCAGCAGCCGCGGUAAUACGGAGGAUCCGAGCGUUAUCCGGAUUUAUUGGGUUUAAAGGGUGCGUAGGUGGUUUGAUAAGUUAGCGGUGAAAUUGGGGGGCUCAACACCGGCGGUGCCGUUGAAACUGGAAGACUAGAGAUCGGGAGCAGUAGGCGGAAUGUGGGGUGUAGCGGUGAAAUGCAUAGAUAUCACGCAGAACUCCGAUUGCGAAGGCAGCUUACUAGGCCGGAACUGACACUGAUGCACGAAAGCGUGGGGAUCGAACAGGAUUAGAUACCCGUGUAGUC